Molecule: ribosomal RNA, 279 nt
Filed under: uncultured bacterium
Lineage: Bacteria
Description: partial 16S ribosomal RNA
Rfam family: Bacterial small subunit ribosomal RNA
Source: RNAcentral
UGCCAGCCGCCGCGGUAAUACGGAGGAUCCAAGCGUUAUCCGGAAUCAUUGGGUUUAAAGGGUCCGUAGGUGGACAAAUAAGUCAGAGGUGAAAUCCUGCAGCUCAACUGUAGAACUGCCUUUGAUACUGUUUGUCUUGAGUUAUUAUGAAGUGGUUAGAAUGUGUAGUGUAGCGGUGAAAUGCGUAGAUAUUAGAAAGAACACCGGUGGCGAAAGCGCUCUACUGGACCAUUACUGACACUCAGAGGCGAAAGCUAGGGUAGCAAAAGGGAUUAGAUA